AGCGAACGCUGGCGGCAGGCCUAACACAUGCAAGUCGAACGGAUCCUUCGGGAUUAGUGGCGGACGGGUGAGUAACACGUUGGAACGUGCACUUUGGUUCGGAACAACGCAGGGAAAAAUGUGCUAAUACCGGAUGUGCCAUUCAAGGGAAAGAUUUAUCGCCAGUGGAGCGGCCCGCGUCGGAUCAGCUAGUUGGUGAGGUAAAGGCUCACAAAGGCGACGAUCAGUAGCUGGUCUGCGAGGAUGAUCAGCCACACUGGUACGGAGACACGGCCGAAACUCCUACAGGAGGGAGCAGUGGGGAAUCUUGCGAAAUGGGCGAAAGCAUGACGCAGCCAUGCUGCUUGAAUGAUGAUGGACUUAGGAUUGUAAAAUUCUUUCACCGGGGACGAUAAUGACGGUACCCGGAGAAUAAGCCCCGGCUAACUUCGUGCCAGCCGCCGCGGUAA
RNAcentral lists this ribosomal RNA (449 nucleotides) under uncultured bacterium. RNAcentral describes it as "partial 16S ribosomal RNA". It matches the Rfam family "Bacterial small subunit ribosomal RNA", at positions 29 to 523 of the family's 1533-position model. The record is from RNAcentral.